GUGCUCACUUCAGCAGCACAUAUACUAAAAUUGUAAAAAUACAGAGACUAGCAUGACCCUUGUGUAAGAAUGGCACACAAAUUUAUGAAGCAUUCAGAUUUUUA
RNAcentral lists this small nuclear RNA (104 nucleotides) under Neotoma lepida (desert woodrat). Lineage: Eukaryota; Metazoa; Chordata; Mammalia; Rodentia; Cricetidae. The record is from RNAcentral.